UUUCAAAAUGUUAAAUCUGAUAACCAGGGGUCGGACAAAAAGUGUGGAUGACGUCAAACCACUUAUAGGAUGAUUUCAAAUAGUAUUUUUGAUUUUCAUAAACAAUUAUCACUUAUCAUUUAUCAACCUCUUUAUUAAACGUAUCGCCACUUGAAAUGAGUAAGUACGUUUUUGACUGACACAUUGUCAAUCAGAUGAACAAUAAAUUGACUUCGUUAUUGUUUAGCUAUUGUAUCUUCACGAUUAUAUUUAGCUAAAAUUUAUAUUUACUAAUGUAUAAGAAAACGCUCUAAAAUGUCAUCUUUACUCGAAUUUACUCGUGAUCCCACAGACUUGUUCUAACUAAUUUCAAAUAAUUAUACCUUAUGGUAACAAGUUUCGUGAAAUUUAUUUUAUUCACUACAUCACCCUACCACCUGUAUUAUUAAUUCCAUGGAUUUAUUUACGAUUAUUUUGUUACUUCAUUAAUACUAC
Cydia amplana is the source of this 474-nucleotide long non-coding RNA. RefSeq lists it as uncharacterized. Lineage: Eukaryota; Metazoa; Arthropoda; Insecta; Lepidoptera; Tortricidae. The record is from RefSeq and is a predicted model, not a curated record. The transcript is spliced from 2 exons.